Molecule: ribosomal RNA, 198 nt
Filed under: uncultured bacterium
Lineage: Bacteria
Description: partial 16S ribosomal RNA
Rfam family: Bacterial small subunit ribosomal RNA
Source: RNAcentral
ACGCUCGACACCUACGGGAGGCAACAGUGGGGAAUAUUGCACAAUGGGGGAAACCCUGAUGCAGCGACGCCGCGUGAGCGAAGAAGUAUUUCGGUAUGUAAAGCUCUAUCAGCAGGGAAGAUAAUGACGGUACCUGACUAAGAAGCUCCGGCUAAAUACGUGCCGGCAGCCGCGGUAAUCUGAGCGGGCUGGCAAGGC